This 435-nucleotide ribosomal RNA is filed under the name uncultured bacterium. RNAcentral describes it as "partial 16S ribosomal RNA". It matches the Rfam family "Bacterial small subunit ribosomal RNA", at positions 29 to 507 of the family's 1533-position model. The record is from RNAcentral.
AGCGAACGCUGGCGGCAGGCUUAACACAUGCAAGUCGAGCGGGCACUUUCGGGUGUCAGCGGCGGACGGGUGAGUAACGCGUGGGAACGUGCCCUCUGGUUCGGAAUAACUCAGGGAAACUUGAGCUAAUACCGGAUACGCCCUUUUGGGGAAAGGCUUGCUGCCGGAGGAUCGGGCCGCGCCUGAUUAGAUAGUUGGUGAGGUAACGGCUCACCAAGGCGACGAUCAGUAGCUGGUCUGAGAGGAUGAUCAGCCACACUGGGACUGAGACACGGCCCAGAAUCCUGCGGGAGGCAGCAGUGGGGGAUAUUGGAAAAUGGGCGCGAGCCUGAUCCAGCCAUGCCGGGUGAGUGAUGAAGGCCUUAGAGUUGUAAAGCUCGUUUAUCCGGGACGAUAAUGACGGUACCGGAAGAAUAAGCCCCGGCUAACUUCGUG